RNAcentral lists this ribosomal RNA (237 nucleotides) under Listeria monocytogenes. RNAcentral's name for it is "partial 16S ribosomal RNA". It matches the Rfam family "Bacterial small subunit ribosomal RNA", at positions 1306 to 1533 of the family's 1533-position model. The record is from RNAcentral. Lineage: Bacteria; Bacillati; Bacillota; Bacilli; Caryophanales; Listeriaceae.
UGCAACUCGCCUACAUGAAGCCGGAAUCGCUAGUAAUCGUGGAUCAGCAUGCCACGGUGAAUACGUUCCCGGGCCUUGUACACACCGCCCGUCACACCACGAGAGUUUGUAACACCCGAAGUCGGUAGGGUAACCUUUAUGGAGCCAGCCGCCGAAGGUGGGACAGAUAAUUGGGGUGAAGUCGUAACAAGGUAGCCGUAUCGGAAGGUGCGGCUGGAUCACCUCCUUUCUAAGGAA